RNAcentral lists this microRNA (21 nucleotides) under Ornithorhynchus anatinus (platypus). Its description in RNAcentral is "oan-miR-1351-3p". Lineage: Eukaryota; Metazoa; Chordata; Mammalia; Monotremata; Ornithorhynchidae. The record is from miRBase by way of RNAcentral.
UUGGCUUUGGCUGGGGCGGGU